RNAcentral lists this long non-coding RNA (759 nucleotides) under Fukomys damarensis (Damara mole-rat). RNAcentral describes it as "lncRNA (ENSFDAG00000027447.1)". The record is from RNAcentral. Lineage: Eukaryota; Metazoa; Chordata; Mammalia; Rodentia; Bathyergidae.
UGAAUGGAAUGGGUGCUCUUACAUCGUCAUCUUACCUUUCUUUACAGAUGAGGAAAUCAAGGCACCCGGAAGAGAAGAGCAAGAAGUGUGAUGUCCAGGCUGUUUUAACUUGUUGGGUUCCAGAGAUGCCAGAAGAGAGGGAACAGCAUCUCCUCCUUGCCUGGAUUUUAAGUAGGCAGGGCUUCCUGAGAAUGAGGGCAUCCACACUAUGCCCAGAGAACUCAGAUCUCAAUUUGACAAGUGCUCCAGAAGACUCAGAGUGCCACACCCUUCCAGAGGUCUGCCUGAUGGAAUCAUGGAAGGUGUUUCAGACCAAGUGAACUUCGGAAUGGGUCUUAAAGGAUGGGCUGACAUUUGCCAAAUGGAAAAUGGUAUUCCAGGGAGGUGGAAGAGACUAUGAAAUUAUGAGCAUGCAAAGAAUGUUUUACACAAAGUGAGGACUCUGGUGUAUCUAAAGGUGGGAGGCAUGAUGAAGGCAGAAGGGUACAAGAAGGUAGGAGUAGUACUUGGAUAUGAACCUAACCAGUGGGCUGUGGAGACCCAAAAAUAGGUAGAGGACUUUAUUUUGGGUGGUCAUGGCAAAGUUUGAGAGUAUAGGGAGAGACUAGGACAGAGAAACAUCUCAGGAUAGUUUAGGUAACAAAGGACCACGAAAUUGGGGAAAAAAGAGGGGACAGUUUGAGAGAUACUUAACAGAAUAAACAAGGCUUGCUGACCAUGGAGAUGAGGACAGAGAAUCCUAGACUUCUAGGAUGGGCA